GUACAGAGUCAAUGUGGAGGCUAUAUACAGGGUAUUAUGGUACAGAGUCAAUGUGGAGGCUAUAUACAGGGUAUUAUGGUACAGAGUCAAUGUGGAGGCUAUAUACAGGGUAUUAUGGUACAGAGUCAAUGUGGAGGCUAUAUACAGGGUAUUAUGGUACAGAGUCAAUGUGGAGGCUAUAUACAGGGUAUUAUGGUACAGAGUCAAUGUGGAGGCUAUAUACAGGGUAUUAUGGUACAGAGUCAAUGUGGAGGCUAUAUACAGGGUAUUAUGGUACAGAGUCAAUGUGGAGGCUAUAU
This is a long non-coding RNA of Oncorhynchus keta (chum salmon), 299 nucleotides long. RefSeq lists it as uncharacterized. NCBI's taxonomy places the organism in Eukaryota, Metazoa, Chordata, Actinopteri, Salmoniformes, Salmonidae. The record is from RefSeq and is a predicted model, not a curated record. The transcript has 4 exons.